Molecule: microRNA, 22 nt
Filed under: Alligator mississippiensis (American alligator)
Lineage: Eukaryota; Metazoa; Chordata; Crocodylia; Alligatoridae
Description: ami-miR-216b-5p
Gene: ami-miR-216b-5p
Source: miRBase by way of RNAcentral
AAAUCUCUACAGGCAAAUGUGA